Molecule: long non-coding RNA, 1153 nt
Filed under: Nicotiana tabacum (common tobacco)
Lineage: Eukaryota; Viridiplantae; Streptophyta; Magnoliopsida; Solanales; Solanaceae
Description: long non-coding RNA (NTAB_LNC018055)
Source: RNAcentral
UUCAUUUCGUGUCUAUUUCGUGUCUUUGGCUUGAAACCAAGAACGUUGAAACAGAAACCAUUUCGUCCAAAUCCUUAGCCAAAAUUUUGAUUGAAAUUUCAAAGAAGCAACCACAAUUUCGUUUCAAAAUUUCAAGGGAUUCAAGAAGAAUUUCGUUCAACAUAUUUUACAGAAGCAGAAGCUUCAUUCCGUUCAAAUAAUUCCAGGAACAGGUAUGUUUAGGCCAUCCCUUCUUUCUUUUGGCAUGGUCCAAAUUAUACUAAAGAAAUGAGCAAACGCACAGUUUCAUAUAUUACUCUAUUCAUAGAGAUACUAGAGGUGUCUAUAUUCUUGAUUCCCCAAGAGAAUUAUUAUUAUCUUCUGUUCAUGAAUCUCAGAAUAAUACGCAGUUGAAAAGUUUAUCCGAGAGGAAUAUUGAAAUUUUUACGUAUUUUUCAUGCAUUUCACCUAUUUAUACAUGUGCAUUGACCCAUGACCAAAUGGCGUUAUAUACGCAUAUAUAUGUAAAUAUAUGUAUAUGGGAUAUGGGAUAUGGAAAAAAAGUUACGACGUUAUAUACGCACCACCACCUGAUCAGCUGGUAUAUGUUGAUGAUGUUGCCCACAGUGGCCGAGAUAAUAUAAUAUACACCCACACCUAUGCAUGGCACAACAUUUAUACGCACGUGCAUGACAUUAUAAACGUUUCAGAAUUUACAAAGUUAUUCAGAUUUAAAGAUGUAUUUCUUUAUUCCAUGUUUCAUCUAUGUCUUUUACGUACUAAUUUCCAUGCCUUACAUAUUCAGUACAUUUUUCGUACUGACGCCCUAUUUCACGGGGCAUGUGUUUCAUGUCCGCAGGUGCAGGUAGGCAAGCUGACGGUCCCCCUUCUUAGGAUCCCUGAUCAGCGAGAGUUGGUGUGCUCCACUUGAUCCGGAGCUGCUUUGAUUUUGGUACGAUACGUUCGUGUAUAUAUAUAUAUGUAUGUAUGUAUAUGGGUAUGACGAGGCUCAGUCCCGUCUUUGUACAGUUAUGUUUCUAUUAGAGGUCUGUAGAUAGUAUGUCUAGUUGGGUUGUAUGUGGGCUUGUCGGCUUUCAGUUUUGGAUGUAUAGUUGUCUAUAGCAGCCUUGCCGACUCGCCCAGUGUGUUCUGCAUGUAUACAUACAUAUGCCUU